RNAcentral lists this transfer RNA (69 nucleotides) under Escherichia coli. RNAcentral describes it as "tRNA-Ser". It matches the Rfam family "tRNA". Rfam says of the family: Transfer RNA (tRNA) molecules are approximately 80 nucleotides in length. The record is from RNAcentral. Lineage: Bacteria; Pseudomonadati; Pseudomonadota; Gammaproteobacteria; Enterobacterales; Enterobacteriaceae.
GGAGAGAUGCCGGAGCGGCUGAACGGACCGGUCUCGAAAACCGGAGUGGGAAUCCCCCUCUCUCCGCCA